RNAcentral lists this ribosomal RNA (335 nucleotides) under uncultured bacterium. RNAcentral's name for it is "bacterial SSU rRNA". It matches the Rfam family "Bacterial small subunit ribosomal RNA", at positions 568 to 898 of the family's 1533-position model. The record is from RNAcentral.
UACGUAGGCAGAUUGCCAAGUUGGAUGUGAAAUCUUUGAGCUUAACUCAAAAAACUGCGUCCAAAAACUGCCAGUCUUGAGUUUGGGAUAGGAAAAACGGAAUUCCUAGUGUAGGAGUGAAAUCUAUAGAUAUUAGGAAGAACACCGAUGGCGAAAGCGGUUUUCUGACCCAAAACUGACGCUGAGGUACGAAAGCUAGGGGAGCGAACGGGAUUAGAUACCCCGGUAGUCCUAGCCGUAAACGUUGCAUACUAGGUGUAUGAGGUAUCGAUCCCUCAUGUGCCGAAGCUAACGCAUUAAGUAUGCCGCCUGGGGAGUAUGCUCGCAAGAGUGAA